Molecule: transfer RNA, 72 nt
Filed under: Myotis lucifugus (little brown bat)
Lineage: Eukaryota; Metazoa; Chordata; Mammalia; Chiroptera; Vespertilionidae
Rfam family: tRNA
About the family: Transfer RNA (tRNA) molecules are approximately 80 nucleotides in length. Their secondary structure includes four short double-helical elements and three loops (D, anti-codon, and T loops).
Source: Rfam by way of RNAcentral
GCUGUUUUGGCUCAAUGAUUAGAGCAUUAGCCUCACACUGAAGGGCCUUGGGUUCGAUUCCCAACAGGGGCA